GUGGGUGUGGCUCAGGUGGUAGAGCUUUGUCCACUAAUCGUAGGCGGUUGGCGGUUCGAUUCCCAGCCCACA
Ameiurus melas (black bullhead) is the source of this 72-nucleotide non-coding RNA. NCBI's taxonomy places the organism in Eukaryota, Metazoa, Chordata, Actinopteri, Siluriformes, Ictaluridae. The record is from the annotation of a GenBank genome assembly.